RNA transcript from Hevea brasiliensis (rubber tree), 957 nucleotides. RefSeq lists it as uncharacterized. The record is from RefSeq and is a predicted model, not a curated record. The transcript is spliced from 6 exons. Lineage: Eukaryota; Viridiplantae; Streptophyta; Magnoliopsida; Malpighiales; Euphorbiaceae.
UGUUAUAUGCCUAAUCGAGUCCUCCAAAUUUAAGAUCUGUCAUUUUAUUUUAGAAAACUGAACAUUUGCAGAGGCAUAAAUAGGGGCGUUGCGAGAAUCGAACUCGCGGCCUCUCGCACCCGAAGCGAGAAUCAUACCACUAGACCAAACGCCCAUUGCACUCUUAAUUUUUAUAUACACCAUAGCUAAUAUAUUCAGGGCGUUAUUCUUUUCCUUUCGUCUUACAGGUUUUAGCUUCUUUGAAAUUGGACUCAAAUCAGAUGUUAGGGUUUACAGAUUCCCCUCUCCGAAUUCAUAAUUUACUUUGAUACAUUCACAUAUUAAUAUAUCUCCGUGUUCUCUGUUUCCGUUUUCUGGUCAAAAUUUUUAGAUAGAUGGCUCAUAACAAUACUGUUGUUGUUGAUAACAAAUUUAGAAGAAAAUUCAAUAGAGAAGUAUUUAGAACACGCUCGUGAGCGUGAAAAGCAGGAGGCUGAGUAGCGGGUCAAAUCCAAAUCUAAAGCUCCACCAGUGCAAAGAAAGUCCUUGAAGCAUAGAUUAUGAAGUAGACCUUGAAUCUCGAUUGGGAAAAACUCAGGUCGUCACACCUAUAGCACCUCUAAGUCCUCUAAGCCAGCAGGCUGGAUACUACUGUUCGGUACGUGAAUGUGUAGUGAAGGAUUCAGCGAACUACUUGGAUCACGUCAAUGGAAAGCAAUGUGCAUAGUUCUCCACAGUUUCACUAUGGGGGUUUCAUUCUCUGGUGACAUUUCACAUUUUGUUCGGUAAAUCAAAGAGCUUUGGGCAUGUCUAUGCGGGUGGAGAGAGCAUCUCUUGAACUGCUACUUCUUUUAAGUAAUUCUUUUUUUUUUUGGGUAAAUCUGAAAAUAUCUUUUAAGUGAUUAUUAGUUCUUUUUCCAAAUGAGAAAUUAAUUAAUAUGGUAAUGUGCAAGUUUUGAUACUUUCUAUUCAUUUAAA